GGAGAGAUGCCGGAGUGGUUGAACGGGCCACGCCUGGAGAGCGUGUAUACCGUGAAAACGGUAUCGGGGGUUCGAAUCCCCCUCUCUCCG
This 90-nucleotide transfer RNA is filed under the name Bacteroidia bacterium. RNAcentral describes it as "tRNA-Ser". It matches the Rfam family "tRNA". From Rfam's summary of the family: Transfer RNA (tRNA) molecules are approximately 80 nucleotides in length. Lineage: Bacteria; Pseudomonadati; Bacteroidota; Bacteroidia. The record is from RNAcentral.